This 290-nucleotide ribosomal RNA is filed under the name uncultured bacterium. Its description in RNAcentral is "partial 16S ribosomal RNA". It matches the Rfam family "Bacterial small subunit ribosomal RNA", at positions 32 to 305 of the family's 1533-position model. The record is from RNAcentral.
AAUCAACGCUGGCGGCGUGCCUAACACAUGCAAGUCGAACGCGAAAGGGGCUUCGGUCCUGAGUAGAGUGGCGAACGGGUGAGUAACACGUGGGUGAUCUACCUUCGAGUGGGGGAUAACGUUCCGAAAGGAGCGCUAAUACCGCAUGACGUUCUGGGUUUGAAGACCUGGAAACCAAAGCCGGGGACCGCAAGGCCUGGCGCUAGGAGAGGACGCCCGCGCCUGAUUAGCUAGUUGGUGAGGAAUGGCUCACCAAGGCGACGAUCAGUAGCCGGCCUGAGAGGGCGGAC